GCUGGUCUGAGAGGACGAUCAGCCACACUGGGACUGAGACACGGCCCAGACUCCUACGGGAGGCAGCAGUGGGGAAUUUUCCGCAAUGGGCGAAAGCCUGACGGAGCAAGACCGCGUGAGGGAGGAAGGCUCUUGGGUUGUAAACCUCUUUUCUCAGGGAAGAAGCUCUGACGGUACCUGAGGAAUCAGCCUCGGCUAACUCCGUGCCAGCAGCCGCGGUAAUACGGAGGAGGCAAGCGUUAUCCGGAAUUAUUGGGCGUAAAGCGUCCGCAGGUGGCGAUUCAAGUCUGCUGUCAAAGCACGGGGCUUAACUCCGUUAAGGCAGUGGAAACUGAAUAGCUAGAGUGCCGUAGGGGUAGAGGGAAUUCCCGGUGUAGCGGUGAAAUGCGUAGAGAUCGGGAAGAACAUCGGUGGCGAAAGCGCUCUACUGGACGGCAACUGACACUCAGGGACGAAAGCUAGGGGAGCGAAUGGGAUUAGAUACCCCAGUAGUCCUAGCUGUAAACGAUGGAUACUAGGUGUAGCUUGUAUCGACCCGAGCUGUGCCGAAGCUAACGCGUUAAGUAUCCCGCCUGGGGAGUACGCACGCAAGUGUGAAACUCAAAGGAAUUGACGGGGGCCCGCACAAGCGGUGGAGUAUGUGGUUUAAUUCGAUGCAACGCGAAGAACCUUACCAGGGCUUGACAUGUCCGGAAUCCCGGUGAAAGCUGGGAGUGCCUUCGGGAGCCGGAACACAGGUGGUGCAUGGCCGUCGUCAGCUCGUGUCGUGAGAUGUUGGGUUAAGUCCCGCAACGAGCGCAACCCUCGUCUUUAGUUGCCAGCAUUAAGUUGGGCACUCUAGAGAGACUGCCGGUGACAAACCGGAGGAAGGUGGGGAUGACGUCAAGUCAGCAUGCCCCUUACGCUCUGGGCGACACACGUACUACAAUGGUCGGGACAGAGGGCAGCGAACCUGCGAAGGCAAGCUAAUCCCAGCAAACUCGGCCUCAGUUCAGAUCGCAGGCUGCAACUCGCCUGCGUGAAGGAGGAAUCGCUAGUAAUCGCCGGUCAGAAUACGGCGGUGAAUCCGUUCCCGGGCCUUGUACACACCGCCCGUCACACCAUGGAAGCUGGCCACGCCCGAAGUCGUUACCCUA
This 1136-nucleotide ribosomal RNA is filed under the name uncultured organism. RNAcentral describes it as "bacterial SSU rRNA". It matches the Rfam family "Bacterial small subunit ribosomal RNA", at positions 286 to 1437 of the family's 1533-position model. The record is from RNAcentral.